Molecule: non-coding RNA, 361 nt
Organism: Salmo salar (Atlantic salmon)
Lineage: Eukaryota; Metazoa; Chordata; Actinopteri; Salmoniformes; Salmonidae
Source: RefSeq, a predicted model, not a curated record
CAGCACGAGAGGAAGGUAUGGAACCGACACACAGCAUGAGAGGAAGGUAUGGAACCGACACACAGCAUGAGAGGAAGGUAUGGAACCGACACACAGCAUGAGAGGAAGGUAUGGAACCGACACACAGCAUGAGAGGAAGGUAUGGAACCGACACACAGCAUGAGAGGAAGGUAUGGAACCGACACACAGCAUGAGAGGAAGGUAUGGAACCGACACACAGCAUGAGAGGAAGGUAUGGAACCGACACACAGCAUGAGAGGAAGGUAUGGAACCGACACACAGCAUGAGAGGAAGGUAUGGAUGCUGGAGGGGAACAAGGGUUCAAAACUAAACUGAUAAUGAGUUAAGAAUCUCAAUAACC